CUACGGGCCGCACCAGUGAGGAAUAUUGCACAAUGGGGGGAACCCUGAUGCAGCAACGCCGCGUGGAGGAUGACACAUUUCGGUGUGUAAACUCCUUUUAUAUGUCAAGAAAAUGACGGUAGCAUAUGAAUAAGCACCGGCUAACUUCGUGCCAGCAGCCGCGGUAAUACGGAGGGUGCAAGCGUUACUCGGAAUCACUUGGCGUAAAGGACGCGUAGGCGGGUUGGAAAGUCAGGUGUGAAAUCCUACAGCUUAACUGUAGAACUGCACUUGAAACUUCUAAUCUAGAGUAUAGGAGGGGGAGAUGGAAUUAGUGGUGUAGGGGUAAAAUCCGUAGAUAUCACUAGGAAUACCUAAAGCGAAGGCGAUCUCCUGGAACAUUACUGACGCUAAGGCGUGAAAGCGUGGGGAGCAAACAGGAUUAGAUACCCCAGUAGUC
Molecule: ribosomal RNA, 439 nt
Filed under: uncultured bacterium
Lineage: Bacteria
Description: partial 16S ribosomal RNA
Rfam family: Bacterial small subunit ribosomal RNA
Source: RNAcentral